Molecule: long non-coding RNA, 1146 nt
Organism: Manis pentadactyla (Chinese pangolin)
Lineage: Eukaryota; Metazoa; Chordata; Mammalia; Pholidota; Manidae
Exons: 3
Source: RefSeq, a predicted model, not a curated record
AGAGCUCUAUUGCCAGAAAUCUUACAAAACAACCGUCCUAGGUCUGGUGCGGGCGAGAACGCCGGUUUGUGAAGCGGACCGAGCCGCCCGGCGGCCUGAGUAUAGCCCAGUGGGGGGUCCGUCUUCCAGGACAAGGCACAUAGGGACUCAUCCACUGUGUCUUCGUGGUGGACACUUUGCUUCGCUUGCUGCCAACCACGCCGUUGGGAUCUGUCCGAAUCGUUUCAGUGUCUGCUUCUGCUGUCUCAGAACAGCUCUGAACUUCCUGCCCCUGGGAACAGUGGCAAUUACUUGGCUACAAACCUGGAGAAUAAGAAGGAAGGCUGUUUAAUGAUAGUUGAACUUGGGGUGAGAAAAGCUGCUUCCAAACAUAGCAUUGAGAAGUCCCCUGUGGGGUGUUCCUUUGCUCUGAACGCUUCAGAGUCCGCUGAGACCAGUCUAUUCUUGGUGCAUCUAAAAACCUGUCUGUAGCUGAGCCAGGCCUGUCCUCCCUUUGAGGAAAAUGUCUGAUCUCUAAACACUGGCCUGAAAGCUCUUUUCUUUUCCCUGUCUUUGCCGUCUAACCCAGCUUCUUGAUACCUUUUCUUUCUCCUUUUUAAAAAACUUACCAAGCGGGGGCACCUUCUGAAGCAUUGUGUUCAAGGCCUUCAUGAACUUGUGGACACAGAAUCGAAAAGCAAAAAUCAAGAAAUGCGAUGCUACCAGAGAAGACUAGUUAUGGAUGGAACCUCAACACAGAGGGCUGGAUUUCAUCAGCGUCUCCAGCUGACUCAUCACCCUGCUGAUUAAUUCUGAGCUGGUGGCUACAGGGGACCAGGGAAGACCAGUGAGGAGACCAAGGAACCAGCAAGAGAGUGAUGAUGGUGACUUGGACCAGAAUAGCGGCAGCAAAAGUGGAGAGAAGCAGAAACUCCAGCUGUCACCUCGGGUGCAUCAGUAACAUAUACCAAGGCCCUGAGCAGCAGAAGGCCGGCAACAACGGGUGUCCCCAGGCAUUGUGCAACUCUCUGUCUCCACAGCCAUUGCAGUCACCGGUGAGGAAGGUGAGCCAGCCUGGGAGGGAGGAUGCCCCAAUAUUCUGGGAUGGGCAGCCUCCCUAUUGGGCCCUGAGGUAGCCCAGUCAGCCCUGCCAGGAGCACAGAUUCC